This is a non-coding RNA of Irpex rosettiformis, 85 nucleotides long. The record is from the annotation of a GenBank genome assembly. NCBI's taxonomy places the organism in Eukaryota, Fungi, Basidiomycota, Agaricomycetes, Polyporales, Irpicaceae.
GGCUCAAUGGUCUAGUAGUAUGAUUCCUGCUUUGGGUAAUGAUUACGUAUGCAGGAGGUCUCGGGUUCAAUUCCCGAUUGAGCCC